CAGUCGCCACGGGAAUACGUAGGGUGCAAGCGUUAAUCGGAAUUACUGGGCGUAAAGCGCACGCAGGCGGUCUGACAAGUCAGAUGUGAAAUCCCCGGGCUUAACCUGGGAACUGCAUUUGAAACUGUCAGGCUGGAGUCUUGUAGAGGGGGGUGGAAUUCCAGGUGUAGCGGUGAAAUGCGUAGAGAUCUGGAGGAAUACCGGUGGCGAAGGCGGCCCCCUGGACAAAGACUGACGCUCGGGUGCGAAAGCGUGGGGAGCAAACAGGAUUAGAUACCCCUGUAGUCCCUGUCUCUUAUAU
Molecule: ribosomal RNA, 301 nt
Filed under: uncultured bacterium
Lineage: Bacteria
Description: partial 16S ribosomal RNA
Rfam family: Bacterial small subunit ribosomal RNA
Source: RNAcentral